This 235-nucleotide ribosomal RNA is filed under the name uncultured bacterium. RNAcentral's name for it is "partial 16S ribosomal RNA". It matches the Rfam family "Bacterial small subunit ribosomal RNA", at positions 524 to 757 of the family's 1533-position model. The record is from RNAcentral.
UACGAAGGGGGCUAGCGUUGCUCGGAAUUACUGGGCGUAAAGCGCACGUAGGCGGUCUUUUUAAGUCGGGGGUGAAAUCCUGGAGCUCAACUCCAGAACUGCCUUCGAUACUGGAAGACUUGAGUCCGGGAGAGGUGAGUGGAACUGCGAGUGUAGAGGUGAAAUUCGUAGAUAUUCGGAGGAACACCAGUGGCGAAGGCGGCUUACUGGUCCAUUACUGACGCUGAGGUGCGAA